This is a long non-coding RNA of Hyaena hyaena (striped hyena), 469 nucleotides long. RefSeq lists it as uncharacterized. The record is from RefSeq and is a predicted model, not a curated record. NCBI's taxonomy places the organism in Eukaryota, Metazoa, Chordata, Mammalia, Carnivora, Hyaenidae. The transcript is spliced from 5 exons.
CGGAGCUCGGCGUCCCCACGUCCCGCCAUGGGGCUUCGGAGGACGUGGCCCGAGACACGAACCGGCCUCCUCAGGAGCCGCGCGGGAGGAGCAGGUGUUGUCCAGAUGUCUGAAUGCCUCCAUUGGGGUACCUCCGUUUCCAAUAGUCUAUAUUCCUCAAUUCCUGGACUGAGGUGUUAACAGUCUUCGUUGAAUGAAUUUCCACGAACGUCUUUUUUUGAUGAUCAUUGUGUGGAGAUAACUUCAUUGAAACUGUGAGAAGCUGUACCCAUGACAAAGGACACAGCAGAACCUGAUCAUGUGAACACAAGUGAAGGACACGGUGGGGACUGGCCACGCAGUUCUGGAUACAGAAAAAGAACAGACUUCCAUAAGUUUUGCAACACCACGUACUCUACUAGACAACAAACAGCGUGGGCGUCAUCCCUCAAAACACCCAUAAAGAGGCAAGUCAAACUACCACACCUGU